Molecule: long non-coding RNA, 1478 nt
Organism: Neofelis nebulosa (Clouded leopard)
Lineage: Eukaryota; Metazoa; Chordata; Mammalia; Carnivora; Felidae
Exons: 2
Source: RefSeq, a predicted model, not a curated record
GUGUGAGCGCUCUGUGCUGCGGUGUGGCCGCGCGCAGUACUGGGUCUGGGCGGCAGGCGGCGCCGGGAGCGAGCCAGCGGGCCUCGACAAUCUGCAGGAGCCCGGGAAGCAGACUUGAUUGGUGCCAAGGCGGGAGCGGCAGCGCGAAGAAAUGGGCGUCGCACACCGGAAGGGGUCGGAGAGCAGGCUUGGCUGCUUCUCGGAGGGGGAGCCUCGGCUAGCAGCCCCGCGCCUCCGCCACGCACCCAGAAGGUCGCCGCCUGCCUUUGGGAUUCCUGCUCCCUCACCCCCACCCCAGAGAAUCCAGAGACAACCCUGUGGGGUUUUCCGAUCGUGGGGUGUAUGUUUGCAGGGAGGGAGGUUCUCCUCCCCAGGGAGUGGUUCGGAUCCGGAGAGACUUAGAGGACUUUGGUCCCACCUGGGAGAGGGCACUACUUGCGGGUGUCCUAUCUGCGAUGUCUUCCUUGCUCCUUUCCUUGUUCGCUCGCUGUGUGACCUUGGAGAAAAAGUCCAGUAACCUCUCUGUGCCUUAAUUUCUUUAACGGUAAAAUGUGAGAAAUGAUAGUCCCUACUUGUUAGGAUUGUUAUGAAAAAUAAAGUAGUUAUAUAUGUGUGUGUCAACAGCUUAGGGCAAGCUCUGGGGAGUGUUACAUUCUCUACAGGCAGUAGCUUUUAAUUGUUAAACCACAGCUUAUGUAUUAAUUUACGUUUCCUCUUUUGAGGGAAUUUUGUGGUUAGGAACCUUCCUCUUUGCGUCUUUCAUUUGGCCUUGCCUUCUCCGACCAAUCGGUGGCUCUCAUGAUUUUCUAAGUAAUUUCAAACAUUGACAAAAACUAGUUCAUCCCAAGGGGAUUCUCCCAUAUUAAGGCCCGUGUGGGAGCAAGAUGCCAGUCAAUAGACUGUUACUGUGUCCCUCCUGUGUGUCAGCCUCUUUUCCCUGUUCUACCCACUGCUUGUGCUAAGUGGAUCCAAGAUCUCCCUCCCUUGUGAGCAAAGUUACCUGUAUUGCAGAGACCUCCCCCUCUUCACUCUGAGUUUCCUGAGGCCAGAGACCACGUCUUUAUCCCCAGGGCCUGGCACAAUUUAGCCAUGCAGUAAACGUUUGUUGAGCUCACGUGUCUAUCCACAGAAGACUGGCUGAAUAAACCACGGUAUAUCUACAGAAUGCAGUUCUGUGAAGCUUUACAAAAGAAUGAAGACCAUCUCUGUGGAAGGCCACCAGACUCCAGGAUACAUUAAGUGAAAAAAGCAAGACUGGGACCCUGUAUACACUGCCUUCCUUCGAAGAAAGAUGUGUGCUUUGCUUACAUUUUAAAGAAGAAGCAAUGGGAGUAUAAAUCACAAACUAAUAAAAAUGGUUGCAUAUAAGAAGAACAGGAUGUAAGAGAUGGAAAUAAGGGCUAGACUUAUUUUCAUAUAUUGUGUUUUAUAGUUUGACUUUGGAAUCAUGUAAAUGAUUUACAUGCUACAUUUUUAAA